AACGAACGCUGGCGGCAUGCCUAACACAUGCAAGUCGAACGAGACCUUCGGGUCUAGUGGCGCACGGGUGCGUAACGCGUGGGAACCUGCACUUAGGUUCGGAAUACCUCCCCGAAAGGGGUGCUAAUACCGGAUAAUGUCUUCGGACCAAAGAUUUAUCGCCUUUGGAUGGGCCCGCGUUGGAUUAGCUAGUUGGUAGGGUAAAAGCCUACCAAGGCGACGAUCCAUAGCUGGUCCGAGAGGAUGAUCAGCCACACUGGGACUGAGACGCGGCCCAGACUCCUACGUGAGGCAGCAGUGGGGAAUAUUGGACAAUGGGCGAAAGCCUGAUCCAGCAAUGCCGCGUGAGUGAUGAAGGCCGUAGAGUUGUAAAGCUCUUUUACCCGGGAUGAUAAUGACAGUACCGGGAGAAUAAGCCCCGGCUAACUCCGUG
RNAcentral lists this ribosomal RNA (433 nucleotides) under uncultured bacterium. RNAcentral describes it as "partial 16S ribosomal RNA". It matches the Rfam family "Bacterial small subunit ribosomal RNA", at positions 29 to 507 of the family's 1533-position model. The record is from RNAcentral.